ACUACCCGAGCAAUCGUAAAUGUAAUUAGGGUUCGUCGAUUUGCGAUUACAGAGAGCGAGAGGAGAAGACAGCUAGAUCGAGCUUCUGAGGAAGAGACCGGUCUGGCGGUGGAGACGCAACCCUGUUAUGAUUCCUUUUCAUAACUGUAUAACAUUAUUACUAUCUGAAAUUAUCAUAUAUUAGCCGUAAAUGGUCGAGGUUUCAGUUUAGGUUGAUUACAAUGUUAUAAUCUGUACAGUCUUCUUCCUUCUUCCUUUUGUACAGAUGCUAAAGCUGUCCAUCUGUACAGUCUUCUUCCUUCUUCCUUUUUUAUGUAUUUGUUAACUCAAACCUUUCUGUCUACUUGCUCUCCUCUGUUUCUCUUUCUCUUUCUAGCUCUCUCUUUCUCCUUGGUUAAAGUUUUUUUUUGUUGAAAAAAUAUCUCUGGUUAUUUCUAUAUGUAUUAAUCCAAAGAUAUUUUCUGUGUUCUUCUAGACUAAGAUUCAUCAACAUGGAAUCUACUGAACUGGAAGACAUAAAUUUCUUUAGUUCCUUUCCCGACCACAGAAGCUAAAGUUUCUUCACUCCAACCACAAGCUCCCUCUGAUCCGACUCUGUAUCCGAAGACACGGAUUCACCAAAGCCACAUAACGAAGAAGAAGACGAGUACGUCGAAGAGUUGACUCUUUCUCUCGAUCUAGCUAUCUUCUCCUCUCUCUCUCUCUGUAAUCUCAAAUAGACGAACUCUAAACACAUUUACGUUUGCUCGGGUUACAUUAGAUUGGGAUGGGUUAUUAAUUAGGUUGGAUGGGUUUUUGGUUUAAAUUUUAUUUUUUGAAUAUUUACGGAUUGACCCC
Molecule: long non-coding RNA, 837 nt
Filed under: Brassica napus (rape)
Lineage: Eukaryota; Viridiplantae; Streptophyta; Magnoliopsida; Brassicales; Brassicaceae
Description: long non-coding RNA (BNAP_LNC026632)
Source: RNAcentral